Molecule: long non-coding RNA, 1361 nt
Organism: Raphanus sativus (radish)
Lineage: Eukaryota; Viridiplantae; Streptophyta; Magnoliopsida; Brassicales; Brassicaceae
Exons: 6
Source: RefSeq, a predicted model, not a curated record
AUUGUGCUACAGAGAGUUAAAAAAAAAAAUCCAACCUCUCUAAACAGAGAAACCCUAAAAAAAAGUCCCACACCCGUACUGUUUUCUCUUUCUCUUCUUCUUCUCCGCCACUUAGAAACGAAAUUGACGAGGAGGAUGACCGGAAGUUCUGAACGGAUCCAAGCUCAGUUGGGUUGGGUCGAGGAAGAAACCCGACGACUCUCCACCAUCUGCGAGAGGCGAACCCACGGCGGAGCUUCUCUUCCUCGGUAGGGAGACAGAGAAGACAGAGGAAGAGGACGACGGCGGUGAAGAUACAGGAGCGACGGUGGUCUGUUCGUCUAGUGUGGGACUCUGUUUUUAUAACAUUUGAUGAUUCACGUCUGCUUUUGUUUGCAACCUGAUAAGGAAGAUGAACCUGAGCUAGAGACUAGUGGAAAGGAUGACAAGGGGGGAUGUUUGAAACAUAUAAGGAGGAUGUUUAUGACAUAAUUAUAGAAGAAAGAUACAAACCUGGUUCUGGGUUUGUUAGAUAUGCAGCUGAUGAUGUUAAAAGCUCCAUCGAGAUGGAUGCUCUUGUUCCUACUGCCUAUGAUCCUCCAAUAUGGAAAACAAAGUGUGUGGUAUGUUGCUAUUGCUUAUCUGAGUAAGAGAUUCCAUCUACAGUUGCUACUGAUCCUGCAACCAAACUCUAUUUGGUCUCUGUUGUCUCUCUUAAGCCUUGUCUCAUCGUUUUUUGACUUGCAGGUUAGAUGAAUCUUGUUGUAUUUACUGCUCCUUUGGGUUGCGUAGUCAAGAAAGAUCCACACUUUAUGUCUUAAUCAGGGAGUUGCAGCGGACAAUCUUACCAAACAGAAACUGAACUCGAAGAUACUUGAGUAGGAGCAGAAACAUUGUUGCAUCUCAUAUCAUCACACAUCGAGGACCACUGGAGUUUAGUAUUCUCUCAGCUUCAGGAGCUGUGUCUAGUUGUUAUGUAUGAGGGGCUAUAUGAUAUCAUUGCUAUUUCAGGUUUUUUCUUGAAUACUAAGAGUAAUAGUUACUAGAUCACAAGUCCAGGCUACUCCAUUUCUCUAACCUUUUAUAGUUGAGUUACUUCAUAGAGUCUUCAAGAUACUGAAUUUGGUUCGGGUGAUUUUAUGUAGGUCAUUGUUGGAAGCUUUGUAUUAGAGAAACUGAAACUGAGCACAUGGUGUGUUGAGAGUAACCCCGAGCCAGGUUAAGCUUCACCAUCGACCAAGAAGAAAAAGAAGAAUAAGAAAAGAAUUUAGUUAUUGUUUAGGUUUUUAUGGUUUUCUUUAGGUUUUCUUAGUUUUGGUUUAGUUUUGUAAAUCGUAAGUUAUUUGUAAACCAAUUUUUAAUUUAUAAAUAAAUUUUAUUUA